CUUACUAAGAGCAAUUCCACCAAUUUGUCAUGGUAAAAGGCAAGGGGAGGCAAGGGAAGUUACUGUUCAUGUGAAUACUGUCUUCCUAAGCAAUUUUUUUUACGCAUUCCCUCUUAUUGUCAUGGCAACUCAAGAGCAACUACUAUUCACAUGAGAUAUGAGGAGAGGAAUUUGUAUGGAGUUUUUGAUGUGGGAAGUGAAGAACAUGGCUAGGUAUUAAUAGCAAACAAUUUCUUAAAUUUUUGGUUUUUUUUUCCUUUUUUUUUUUAAUUUUUUUGAUAUUUAAAUUGGAUGCUGACAUCAGUGUGCAACCCAGACAAGUCUUGCCUUUGAGCUCGCCCAAAUUUAGAUAUGGCCCAUUGCUGCCUAGGUAGUUUGUGCUUGGUGUGGGUAUUUUUUCCAAACUAGACCCCCUUUUACCAUGACAAAAGUGACCAAUGGAAAUGCUCUAAUCAAUUUCAGUUCUUCGUAUUUCCUUUUUCUUUCUUUUUGGGUUCAAAGCGUCAGGAUGCUUUGUGAUCGAUACAAAGACUCAAGUUCAUAUAUUUGGGUUCAAAAGCCCAAGUUCCUACAUUUCUUUUUUCUCUCCAAUGCACUUUUAUUUAUUUAUUGAAUAUAUUAGAAUUUAACUUUGGUUGUUGAGUCUAAAUUUCCCUUGGAGAUGGUUGGGUCCAAACUUAAAUUUGGGUUUGGCAUACUCUCUCAUAUUUUCCUUCUAGGCCCACAAUUUGAGUUUUGAUUGAAAACAACUCGAUUUCAAUAUGAUACUGAUUUGGAUUUGGUUUUUCCUUUACAUUGAAUAUCGGCUACUAACCCAUAUAAUAAGUCAUAGUUUUUGAGAUAUUUAUUCAAAAAUUUAUUUUAAGAUGACAUAUUAUAUAAAAUUCUAUAUAGAGUCUAUUUAAAGAGAAAAUUACAAAACUAGCUACUUGUCAUUUUUUAAUUGGUUUUAAUGUGUUAAAAUUUUAUAAGAACCAAUUUGAAAAUGACAAGUAGCUAGUUUUGAGUUUUUCUCUCCAAAUAGGCUCUAUAAGGGUUUUUGUAUAAUAUGUUAAAAUGAACCUAAUUGUGAAAAGCCCUAAUUUAUUUAUUUUUGGAAUGCCCAAAGGGUUCUGGAAAUGCUUGCCUUCAUCUGAUACUCAAAUUUUAGUAUAAAAAAUAGAGUUGUCAUGGAAAUGACUUAUAACUUAAGUGUUUCACAUCCUUAUCCAAUAUCUUGAAAUCGAUUAUUCGUUUGCACAAACAUCCCCACCAAGUUGGUAACCCUCUCCAUUGGAAGUUAAAUACACACCUACUCUAAUGGUAGCUUUCACAGUCCCUAAUGGGUAGCUUUCACACAAUCCCUAAUGGAUAAAAUUCUUCAUUUUUAUACUAAAAUUGUGUACUGGCUUCACAAUAUAAGAAUUUGUUAAUCUGUUAGCUUUCACUAGUGGUAGUCUCUCUGUUAAACCCUAAUCGGUAGCCUUAUCCAUGUCCAUAAUUUGUUGUGUGCACCCACCCCCAUGACACCUACGCUCAUCCCUAACAUUUAGCCAUAUCUACACAUAUCCCACCCUACACCUAAUAUUCCUAUCUAACAUUGUAGUCACCAUGAAAAAUUUCCACUAUUUUUAAUUUCCUCCAAUAUCUUAUAUGUGUUUAUGUGUGUCUAUGUUUAUGUCUAUAUAAUCUACUAUCACAUAUAAUUAGAGAUGGACAAAAUCACAUAAAUUUUAUUUCAACG
Molecule: long non-coding RNA, 1723 nt
Filed under: Prunus persica (peach)
Lineage: Eukaryota; Viridiplantae; Streptophyta; Magnoliopsida; Rosales; Rosaceae
Description: long non-coding RNA (PPER_LNC002549)
Rfam family: MIR6288 microRNA precursor family (bases 916-1006)
Source: RNAcentral